GAAAUGUCAUUUAUAUGAAAUCGAUAUUGAUCUGUGUAAUGGCUAUAGAUUCGUUGUUAAUAGUUUUGCUGCUGACCAUUGUUAAAUAAGGAGCACCGUGAACGGCCACCGGUAUUUUAUGAAUGGUCACGAUCAAUUCAAUGGAUCAGGCGUGUAAUUUUGUGUUUUUCCUUCUCAGGUACACUUACAAAAGCUUUAGAGGAAGAGUUAGACCUAAGAAGAAAUGAAUGGAUUGCGUGAAAGACGAUAUGGAGGGGAGUGGGUGAAGAAAUGGUAUAUGAUAAAGGAGUAUGGAAGGAGAAAACUUGUUGCGCCGACCCCAGGUGACUAGGAAAAGGGCAGGAAAAUGAUGUACACAUAUACAUGGUGUUAGCAAUUGAGACAAAAAAUAAAAAAUAAACAUUUCAAGAAA
Molecule: long non-coding RNA, 412 nt
Organism: Bombyx mori (domestic silkworm)
Lineage: Eukaryota; Metazoa; Arthropoda; Insecta; Lepidoptera; Bombycidae
Exons: 2
Source: RefSeq, a predicted model, not a curated record